AACGGCCGCGGUAUCCUAACCGUGCGAAGGUAGCGUAAUCACUUGUUCUUUAAAUGAGGACUAGUAUGAAUGGCACCACGAGGGUUAAGCUGUCUCCUUUUUCUAAUCAGUGAAACUAAUCUCCCCGUGAAGAAGCGGGGAUUAUACUAUAAGACGAGAAGACCCUAUGGAGCUUAAAACAAAUUAACACUUGCUUCUAUCCAUUUUUACUCCUGAACUAACACAUAAAAUAUAGCAUCGUUGAUUAAUAGUUUUCGAUUGGGGUGAUCAUGGAGUAAAAACCAACCUCCACGACGAAAAGGAACACUUCCCUGAGCUAAAAGCUACAACUUUAAGCACUAAAAAAUUAACGCACUUUGACCCAAAUUUUUGAGCAACGAACCAAGUUACCCUAGGGAUAACAGCGCAAUCCAUUUCAAGAGCCCCUAUCGACAAAUGGGUUUACGACCUCGAUGUUGGAUCAGGGUAUCCCAGUGGUGCAGCCGCUACUAAAGGUUCGUUUGUUCAACGAUUAAAACCCUACGUGAUCUGAGUUCAGACCGGAGAAAUCCAGGUCAGUUUCUAUCUAUAAAGGGCUUUUUCUAGUACGAAAGGACCGAAAAAGCAUGGCCAAUGAUCAAUUAAGCCAUAUAAAUUACUCAUGUUUUCAACUCAAUUAGAGACAAACCUACCAUAAACCUCAAAAAAAGAGAAGUUAACGUAGCAAAACCUGGCCCUGCAA
Molecule: ribosomal RNA, 721 nt
Filed under: Boana albopunctata (spotted treefrog)
Lineage: Eukaryota; Metazoa; Chordata; Amphibia; Anura; Hylidae
Description: partial 16S ribosomal RNA
Rfam family: Bacterial large subunit ribosomal RNA
Source: RNAcentral